GACGAACGCUGGCGGCGUGCUUAACACAUGCAAGUCGAACGGAGAGGCCCUGCUUUUGGGGGGUGCUCGAGUGGCGAACGGGUGAUUAACACGUGAGUAACCUGCCCUUGACUUUGAGAUAACUUCAGGAAACUGGGGCUAAUACCGGGUAAGAGCUCCUGCUGCAGGGUGGGGGUGGGAAAGUUUCGGCGGUUGGGGGGGGAAUCGCGGCGUAUCAGCUUGUUGGUGGGGUAGUGGGUUAGCAAGGCUUUGACGGGUAGCCGGCCUGAGAGGGUGACCGGCCACAUUGGGACUGAGAUACGGCACAGACUCCUCCGGGAGGGAGCAGUGGGGAAUAUUGCACAAUGGGCGGAAGCCUGAUGCAGCAACGCCGCGUGCGGGAUGACGGCCAUCGGGUUGUAAACCGCUUUCGCCUGUGACGAAGAGUGAGUGACGGUAAUGGGUAAAGAAGCACCGGCUAACUACGUG
Molecule: ribosomal RNA, 468 nt
Filed under: uncultured bacterium
Lineage: Bacteria
Description: partial 16S ribosomal RNA
Rfam family: Bacterial small subunit ribosomal RNA
Source: RNAcentral